UCGGCCCCUCGCGACGCUAGGUCGAAAACCCCGCCAGGGCCGGAAGGCAGCAACGGUAUCGAUCGACGCGGGUGCCGAGGUCAGCCGG
This 88-nucleotide signal recognition particle RNA is filed under the name Luteimonas cucumeris. RNAcentral describes it as "Bacterial small signal recognition particle RNA". It matches the Rfam family "Bacterial small signal recognition particle RNA". Rfam says of the family: The signal recognition particle (SRP) is a universally conserved ribonucleoprotein involved in the co-translational targeting of proteins to membranes. Archaeal SRP consists of a 7S RNA and homologues of the eukaryotic SRP19 and SRP54 proteins. Lineage: Bacteria; Pseudomonadati; Pseudomonadota; Gammaproteobacteria; Lysobacterales; Lysobacteraceae. The record is from RNAcentral.